RNAcentral lists this ribosomal RNA (496 nucleotides) under uncultured bacterium. Its description in RNAcentral is "partial 16S ribosomal RNA". It matches the Rfam family "Bacterial small subunit ribosomal RNA", at positions 28 to 507 of the family's 1533-position model. The record is from RNAcentral.
GAUGAACGCUGGCGGCGUGCCUAAUACAUGCAAGUCGAGCGAACAGACGAGGAGCUUGCUCCUCUGACGUUAGCGGCGGACGGGUGAGUAACACGUGGAUAACCUACCUAUAAGACUGGGAUAACUUCGGGAAACCGGAGCUAAUACCGGAUAAUAUAUUGAACCGCAUGGUUCAAUAGUGAAAGACGGUUUUGCUGUCACUUAUAGAUGGAUCCGCGCCGCAUUAGCUAGUUGGUAAGGUAACGGCUUACCAAGGCGACGAUGCGUAGCCGACCUGAGAGGGUGAUCGGCCACACUGGAACUGAGACACGGUCCAGACUCCUACGGGAGGCAGCAGUAGGGAAUCUUCCGCAAUGGGCGAAAGCCUGACGGAGCAACGCCGCGUGAGUGAUGAAGGUCUUCGGAUCGUAAAACUCUGUUAUUAGGGAAGAACAAAUGUGAAGUAACUAUGCACGUCUUGACGGUACCUAAUCAGAAAGCCACGGCUAACUACGUG